GCCUCCGUAGCUCAGUGGAUAGAGCAGCAGCCUUCUAAUCUGUCGGUCGCCGGUUCGAGUCCGGCCGGGGGCA
This 73-nucleotide transfer RNA is filed under the name Microbacterium oleivorans. Its description in RNAcentral is "tRNA-Arg". It matches the Rfam family "tRNA". Rfam says of the family: Transfer RNA (tRNA) molecules are approximately 80 nucleotides in length. Their secondary structure includes four short double-helical elements and three loops (D, anti-codon, and T loops). Lineage: Bacteria; Bacillati; Actinomycetota; Actinomycetes; Micrococcales; Microbacteriaceae. RNAcentral also lists the same sequence under 1 other name. The record is from RNAcentral.